CCUACGGGAGGCAGCAGUAGGGAAUCUUCCACAAUGGGCGAAAGCCUGAUGGAGCAACGCCGCGUGGGUGAAGAAGGUCUUCGGAUCGUAAAACCCUGUUGUUAGAGAAGAAAGUGCGUGAGAGUAACUGUUCACGUUUCGACGGUAUCUAACCAGAAAGCCACGGCUAACUACGUGCCAGCAGCUGCGGUAAUACGUAGGUGGCAAGCGUUAUCCGGAUUUAUUGGGCGUAAAGGGAACGCAGGCGGUCUUUUAAGUCUGAUGUUAAAGCCUUCGGCUUAACCGGAGUAGGGCAUUGGAAACUGGGAGACUUGAGUGCAGAAGAGGAGAGUGGAACUCCAUGUGUAGCGGUGAAAUGCGUAGAUAUAUGGAAGAACACCAGUGGCGAAAGCGGCUCUCUGGUCUGUAACUGACGCUGAGGUUCGAAAGCGUGGGUAGCAAACAGGAUUAGAUACCCUAGUAGUC
RNAcentral lists this ribosomal RNA (465 nucleotides) under uncultured bacterium. RNAcentral describes it as "partial 16S ribosomal RNA". It matches the Rfam family "Bacterial small subunit ribosomal RNA", at positions 338 to 795 of the family's 1533-position model. The record is from RNAcentral.